RNAcentral lists this ribosomal RNA (258 nucleotides) under uncultured bacterium. RNAcentral's name for it is "partial 16S ribosomal RNA". It matches the Rfam family "Bacterial small subunit ribosomal RNA", at positions 524 to 776 of the family's 1533-position model. The record is from RNAcentral.
GACGUAGGGCGCGAGCGUUGUCCGGAUUUAUUGGGCGUAAAGAGCUCGUAGGCGGCUUGUCGCGUCGUUCGUGAAAAACCUGCAGCUCAACUGCAGGCUUGCGGUCGAUACGGGCAGGCUAGAGUUCGGUAGGGGGAGACUGGAAUUCCUGGUGUAGCGGUGAAAUGCGCAGAUAUCAGGAGGAACACCGGUGGCGAAGGCGGGGUCUCUGGGCCGAUACUGACGCUGAGGAGCGAAAAGCGUGGGGGAGCGAACAGG